Pistacia vera is the source of this 556-nucleotide long non-coding RNA. RefSeq lists it as uncharacterized. Lineage: Eukaryota; Viridiplantae; Streptophyta; Magnoliopsida; Sapindales; Anacardiaceae. The record is from RefSeq and is a predicted model, not a curated record. The transcript is spliced from 3 exons.
UUGGGAUUGUGGGUUGGAUACUGAGCUAAGUUUUGGGAUGACUUUUCGGAGAAUUGGUGCUGGUCUUGAAAAUCUUGGAAAUACUUGUUUUCUCAAUUCCGUGUUGCAGUGUCUGACAUAUACAGAGCCUUUAGCGGCAUACUUGCAGAGUGGCAAGCAUCGAAAUUCUUGUCUUUCUCCUUCCUAGCACGCAAGAAGAGUAUUUGAAAAAGAAGAGAUGAAAAUAUCCAUUUCUUGGGGCUUUCCAUUUAUGACCAUAAAGGGAUCUAUUCUUUUAUGAUGUUUCUAGAUUUUUAUGCUUUUGUUUUAUUAUUAGUAUUUUCUUUUGGCUCUGUGUGCCCCAUUUUUAUUGAAGUUAUUUUGAUGUUGUUGUCUCCAGUAAUUGGUGUCUCAUGUUAAUUAACUGUGCAUGUACGUAUGUUGUGUGUGCAUCACAAAUGACAGAUGAAUUGCAUAAUGUAGCUUUCGUGAUUGCUAAUGUGUAUCCCACAUAUUUUUUGCAAGCUAGACAGGUUUUAUAGGUGUAGUUCUGUAUUAUUCUGUUCAUCAAUUAAUU